UACGUAGGGACCAAGCGUUGUUCGGAUUUACUGGGCGUAAAGGGCGCGUAGGCGGCGUGGUAAGUCACUUGUGAAAUCUCUGAGCUUAACUCAGAACGGCCAAGUGAUACUGCUGUGCUAGAGUGCAGAAGGGGCAAUCGGAAUUCUUGGUGUAGCGGUGAAAUGCGUAGAUAUCAAGAGGAACACCUGAGGUGAAGGCGGUUCUCUGGGAAUGACCUGACGCUGAGGAGCGAAAGUGUGGGGAGCGAACAGG
RNAcentral lists this ribosomal RNA (253 nucleotides) under uncultured bacterium. Its description in RNAcentral is "partial 16S ribosomal RNA". It matches the Rfam family "Bacterial small subunit ribosomal RNA", at positions 524 to 776 of the family's 1533-position model. The record is from RNAcentral.